Molecule: ribosomal RNA, 467 nt
Filed under: uncultured bacterium
Lineage: Bacteria
Description: partial 16S ribosomal RNA
Rfam family: Bacterial small subunit ribosomal RNA
Source: RNAcentral
GAUGAACGCUGGCGGCGCGCCUAACACAUGCAAGUCGAACGAUUAAAGCACCUGCGGGUGUGUAUAAAGUGGCGAACGGCUGAGUAACAAGUGGGCAACCUGCCCCUUUCAUUGGGAUAGCCACGGUAAACCGUGGGUAAUACCGAAUACUUCGAGACUUCAGCAUGGAAGACUCGAGAAAGCUCCGGCGGCGUGGGAUGGGCCCGCGGCCUGUUAGCUUGUUGGUGGGGUAACGGACUACAAAGGCAAUGAGGGGUAGCUGAGUUGAGAGACCGACCAGCCAGAUUGCGCCUGAGACACGGCCCAGACUCCUACGGGCGGCAGCAGUGGAGAGUCUUGCACAGUGGGCGCGCGCCUGAUGCAGCGACCCCGCGUUCGGGAUGAAGGCCUUCGGGUUGUAAACCGCUUUCAGCAGGGACGAGGCGAAAGUGACGGUACCUGCAGAAGAAGCCCCGGCUAACUACGUG